AAAUCGUACAAGGUUUCCGUAGGUGAACCCUGCGUGAAGGAU
This 42-nucleotide ribosomal RNA is filed under the name Hypogymnia sp. Hur 040094. RNAcentral's name for it is "partial 18S ribosomal RNA". The record is from RNAcentral. Lineage: Eukaryota; Fungi; Ascomycota; Lecanoromycetes; Lecanorales; Parmeliaceae.